This 232-nucleotide ribosomal RNA is filed under the name uncultured bacterium. Its description in RNAcentral is "partial 16S ribosomal RNA". It matches the Rfam family "Bacterial small subunit ribosomal RNA", at positions 91 to 339 of the family's 1533-position model. The record is from RNAcentral.
ACGAGCGGCGGACGGCUGAGUAACGCGUAGGAACAUACCCCAAAGUGAGGGAUAACUGCCCGAAAGGGUAGCUAAUACCGCAUGUGGUCUUCGGAUUAAAGCUUUAUGCGCUUUGGGAAUGGCCUGCGUCUGAUUAGUUUGUUGGUGAGGUAAUGGCUCACCAAGACUACGAUCGGUAGCUGGUCUGAGAGGAUGAUCAGCCAGACUGGAACUGAGACACGGUCCAGACUCC